This 28-nucleotide small RNA is filed under the name Bombyx mori (domestic silkworm). Its description in RNAcentral is "ovarian small RNA-16550". Lineage: Eukaryota; Metazoa; Arthropoda; Insecta; Lepidoptera; Bombycidae. The record is from RNAcentral.
GCAUCUGUCAAAUAUCUUGUGUUCUGUG